AAGGAUUUAAGUUAAGUAAAAACUUGAAACCUUCAAAGUUUCAAAUAAAGGUUUCUUUAAGCCUUA
This 66-nucleotide transfer RNA is filed under the name Tychobythinus sp. 1 EF-2015. RNAcentral describes it as "tRNA-Trp". The record is from RNAcentral. Lineage: Eukaryota; Metazoa; Arthropoda; Insecta; Coleoptera; Staphylinidae.